Molecule: ribosomal RNA, 439 nt
Filed under: Corynebacterium sp. oral taxon B00
Lineage: Bacteria; Bacillati; Actinomycetota; Actinomycetes; Mycobacteriales; Corynebacteriaceae
Description: bacterial SSU rRNA
Rfam family: Bacterial small subunit ribosomal RNA
Source: RNAcentral
GACGAACGCUGGCGGCGUGCUUAACACAUGCAAGUCGAACGGAAAGGCCCCCACCUUGGUGGGGGUGCUCGAGUGGCGAACGGGUGAGUAACACGUGGGUGAUCUGCCCUGUACUUCGGGAUAAGCUUGGGAAACUGGGUCUAAUACCGGAUAGGACCAUGGUUUAGUGUCUCAUGGUGGAAAGAUUUUUUGGUGCAGGAUGAGCUCGCGGCCUAUCAGCUUGUUGGUGGGGUAAUGGCCUACCAAGGCGUCGACGGGUAGCCGGCCUGAGAGGGUGGACGGCCACAUUGGGACUGAGAUACGGCCCAGACUCCUACGGGAGGCAGCAGUGGGGAAUAUUGCACAAUGGGCGCAAGCCUGAUGCAGCGACGCCGCGUGGGGGAUGACGGCCUUCGGGUUGUAAACUCCUUUCGUUAGGGACGAAGCCGCACCUUUUUUG